This 273-nucleotide long non-coding RNA is filed under the name Nicotiana benthamiana. RNAcentral's name for it is "long non-coding RNA (NBEN_LNC032492)". The record is from RNAcentral. Lineage: Eukaryota; Viridiplantae; Streptophyta; Magnoliopsida; Solanales; Solanaceae.
GAAUGUCUCAUCGCUGAGGGUAUGACCAUUGAGCUCCAUCUCAUUCUUGAUCUCCGUCAACCUCGAAAAGUAUCCCUCAACUGUCUCUGACUUCUCUAUCGUGGCAAGCUCGAACUUCCUUUUUAGCGCCAUCAAAUUAUUAUUUUUGGACCUUAUCAACUCCACGAUACGCUUUGGCCAAAAUAUCCCAAGCCUGUUUUGUUGUUUGGGCUGUGGAAAUUUUGCCAAACACAGACAUAUCGAUGGCCUGGUGUAUUUGGGACAAGGCCNNNN